This 253-nucleotide ribosomal RNA is filed under the name uncultured bacterium. RNAcentral's name for it is "partial 16S ribosomal RNA". It matches the Rfam family "Bacterial small subunit ribosomal RNA", at positions 524 to 776 of the family's 1533-position model. The record is from RNAcentral.
UACGUAGGGCGCAAGCGUUGUCCGGAAUUAUUGGGCGUAAAGAGCUCGUAGGCGGUCCGUUACGUCCGCUGUGAAAACCCAGGGCUUAACCCUGGGCUUGCAGUGGAUACGGGCAGACUAGAGGCAGGUAGGGGAGAAUGGAAUUCCCGGUGUAGCGGUGAAAUGCGCAGAUAUCGGGAGGAACACCGGUGGCGAAGGCGGUUCUCUGGGCCUGACCUGACGCUGAGGAGCGAAAGCGUGGGGAUCGAACAGG